AGCAGUAGCCACGGUAAUGCGUAGGUGGCAAGCGUUGUCCGGAAUUAUUGGGCGUAAAGGGCUCGCAGGCGGUUUCUUAAGUCUGAUGUGAAAGCCCCCGGCUCAACCGGGGAGGGUCAUUGGAAACUGGGAAACUUGAGUGCAGAAGAGGAGAGCGGAAUUCCACGUGUAGCGGUGAAAUGCGUAGAGAUGUGGAGGAACACCAGUGGCGAAGGCGACUCUCUGGUCUGUAACUGACGCUGAGGAGCGAAAGCGUGGGGAGCGAACAGGAUUAGAUACCCCGGUAGUCCCUGUCUCUUAUAC
RNAcentral lists this ribosomal RNA (303 nucleotides) under uncultured bacterium. RNAcentral describes it as "partial 16S ribosomal RNA". It matches the Rfam family "Bacterial small subunit ribosomal RNA", at positions 507 to 807 of the family's 1533-position model. The record is from RNAcentral.